Long non-coding RNA from Telopea speciosissima, 197 nucleotides. RefSeq lists it as uncharacterized. Lineage: Eukaryota; Viridiplantae; Streptophyta; Magnoliopsida; Proteales; Proteaceae. The transcript is spliced from 3 exons. The record is from RefSeq and is a predicted model, not a curated record.
AGUUUUCUCUUGCUUAAGGCCAACUAAGAUCCAUGGCAAGUACAAGCGAUUCUGAAUGAUUGAAUACCCAUUAAUUGACCAUGAAAAGUUACCCAGAUCCAAGUCGUACCAUCACUCGAACUCAAAUGCCUCCUCAGAAUCUGAUAGGGGCAGAAGAGUGCAGAUCCCAAGCAUAUGCCCAUUGAGGCACACAUAAU